This 178-nucleotide unclassified non-coding RNA is filed under the name rhizosphere metagenome. RNAcentral's name for it is "partial ribosomal RNA internal transcribed spacer region". The record is from RNAcentral.
GAAAUUUUUUGGUAGUCUUCGGACUACCUUCAAACCUCCUAUUCCUUUACCACACACCUGCGCUAGUGUAGCAAUACAUCAGCGCAAGCUCUUUUAACUUAUUAUAACACACCAGUUCAUUGUAUGUUCAAAAAACUAUAAACAAAAUAAAACUUUCAACAACGGAUCUCUUGGUUCU